CGAACGGGUGAGUAAUAUAUCGGAACGUACCCAAGAGUGGGGGAUAACGUAGCGAAAGUUACGCUAAUACCGCAUACGAUCUAUGGAUGAAAGCAGGGGACCGCAAGGCCUUGUGCUCCUGGAGCGGCCGAUAUCUGAUUAGCUAGUUGGUAGGGUAAAGGCCUACCAAGGCGACGAUCAGUAGCUGGUCUGAGAGGACGACCAGCCACACUGGAACUGAGACACGGUCCAGACUCCUACGGGAGGCAGCAGUGGGGAAUUUUGGACAAUGGGCGCAAGCCUGAUCCAGCAAUGCCGCGUGAGUGAAGAAGGCCUUCGGGUUGUAAAGCUCUUUUGUCAGGGAAGAAACGGUGGAGGUUAAUACCUUCCGCUAAUGACGGUACCUGAAGAAUAAGCACCGGCUAACUACGUGCCAGCAGCCGCGGUAAUACGUAGGGUGCAAGCGUUAAUCGGAAUUACUGGGCGUAAAGCGUGCGCAGGCGGUUUUGUAAGUCUGUCGUGAAAGCCCCGGGCUCAACCUGGGAAUUGCGAUGGAGACUGCAAGGC
Molecule: ribosomal RNA, 546 nt
Filed under: Massilia sp. b2m1
Lineage: Bacteria; Pseudomonadati; Pseudomonadota; Betaproteobacteria; Burkholderiales; Oxalobacteraceae
Description: bacterial SSU rRNA
Rfam family: Bacterial small subunit ribosomal RNA
Source: RNAcentral